This 238-nucleotide long non-coding RNA is filed under the name Erythranthe guttata (spotted monkey flower). Its description in RNAcentral is "long non-coding RNA (EGUT_LNC000596)". The record is from RNAcentral. Lineage: Eukaryota; Viridiplantae; Streptophyta; Magnoliopsida; Lamiales; Phrymaceae.
AAAAGUAGAAAAAUAGGUUCGAAUUACCACAUAGGGUUCCAAUAAAAUCCUAGAAUAAAAACUUAGCUACUCAUGUUCGUUACGAAAAGCAUAAUAAAAAUACGAAAAAUCAUAAAAGCUAAUAAAAGAGGAGAACUAUGAUGAAGAUUCGUCAAGUCUUCGUCUUCGUUCUUGUGCUCCUUGAUUGCGUGUAGAAAGAUGAAAAAUAAAAACCUAAAGAUUAAAGAUAAAAGGUAAA